AUGAACGCUAGCGGCAGGCUUAACACAUGCAAGUCGAGGGGUAUAGUAGCAAUACUAGAGACCGGCGCACGGGUGCGUAACGCGUAUGCAAUCUACCUUUUGCAGAGGGAUAGCCCAGAGAAAUUUGGAUUAAUACCUCAUAGUAUAGAGACUCGGCAUCGAGAUUCUAUUAAAGUCACAACGGCAAAAGAUGAGCAUGCGUCCCAUUAGCUAGUUGGUAAGGUAACGGCUUACCAAGGCAACGAUGGGUAGGGGUCCUGAGAGGGAGAUCCCCCACACUGGUACUGAGACACGGACCAGACUCCUACGGGAGGCAGCAGUGAGGAAUAUUGGUCAAUGGGCGCAAGCCUGAACCAGCCAUGCCGCGUGCAGGAUGACGGUCCUAUGGAUUGUAAACUGCUUUUAUACGAGAAGAAACACUACUUCGUGAAGUAGCUUGACGGUAUCGUAAGAAUAAGGAUCGGCUAACUCCGU
RNAcentral lists this ribosomal RNA (474 nucleotides) under uncultured bacterium. Its description in RNAcentral is "bacterial SSU rRNA". It matches the Rfam family "Bacterial small subunit ribosomal RNA", at positions 29 to 506 of the family's 1533-position model. The record is from RNAcentral.